Molecule: unclassified non-coding RNA, 242 nt
Filed under: Glomus sp.
Lineage: Eukaryota; Fungi; Glomeromycota; Glomeromycetes; Glomerales; Glomeraceae
Description: partial contains 5.8S ribosomal RNA and internal transcribed spacer 2
Rfam family: 5.8S ribosomal RNA (bases 1-71)
Source: RNAcentral
GUGAAUCAUCAAAUUUUUGAACGCAAAUUGCACUUUCUGGUAUUCCGGAAAGUAUGCCUGUUUGAGGGUCAGUUAAAUACAAAUCGGCGUUGUUGCUUCCGUUCGUGGUGACGCGUCUGAAGUGUGUUGUCUUACCUUCGGUUAAGUCACUUAAAAUUUUGCAUGAGUUUCGAAGGUCUUUAAAUUUCUUACGUACGUUUGAGAUAUCGAACACUUUAUUAGGUUCGAUCAUCCUCCUGAGU